CCAUAAGAGGGAUGAUGUAUUACUACAAGGCUCUUAAGAUGCUUUCCUACCUAGACUCUGCAUCGGAGAUGGACAUAAG
This 79-nucleotide small nucleolar RNA is filed under the name Olea europaea subsp. europaea. RNAcentral's name for it is "Small nucleolar RNA J33". It matches the Rfam family "Small nucleolar RNA J33". Rfam says of the family: J33 is a member of the C/D class of snoRNA which contain the C (UGAUGA) and D (CUGA) box motifs. Most of the members of the box C/D family function in directing site-specific 2'-O-methylation of substrate RNAs. The record is from Rfam by way of RNAcentral. Lineage: Eukaryota; Viridiplantae; Streptophyta; Magnoliopsida; Lamiales; Oleaceae.